This 409-nucleotide long non-coding RNA is filed under the name Capsicum annuum. Its description in RNAcentral is "long non-coding RNA (CANN_LNC014990)". The record is from RNAcentral. Lineage: Eukaryota; Viridiplantae; Streptophyta; Magnoliopsida; Solanales; Solanaceae.
GUCCAAGUAACACUCCAUGACCACCCCUUUUCAUUAAGGGUAUUCUGGUUAUUUUGUUAUGUAAUAAGUUAGACUAUAAAUAGGUUCUAUUAGUUCAUUUGCUAGUAGUUUAUAAAAAGAUGAAAGAUUGAAACACUUGAAAUCCUCUCUCUUGAGAGUAGACCACCUUAGUAUAGUCUUAGUUAGGACUUGGAAAAGUCAUCCUUAGUAUAGGGCUUGGAAAAACCAAUAUUGUUCUUUGUUUGGAAACGGUAGAUUUUGAAGUGAGUCGAUUACCUUAGCGGUCACCGUAAAAGUGUGGUUUUGAUUAUUACAUUCAUUAGGGGUUAAUGUUGAAAUAUACUUGGUUCUUAAUCUUUUAAUAAUCUUGGUCUCACUAUCUAUCCUUUCAUUAUUUUGCAAAUCCGNN